UGUUAAAAAUUUCAUCCACUUGUACUAUUAAAAAUUGACAUGGUUGAUGGAAUAACUAAUCAAUGACACAUGAUACGCCACACGUACCUCAUGCUAGUAUAUAGGGAUCAAAUUUUAUCAAUUGAAAUGGAUGAAAUUUUUAACA
This is a non-coding RNA of Gossypium raimondii (Peruvian cotton), 145 nucleotides long. The record is from Rfam. Lineage: Eukaryota; Viridiplantae; Streptophyta; Magnoliopsida; Malvales; Malvaceae.